Acanthosepion pharaonis is the source of this 101-nucleotide non-coding RNA. NCBI's taxonomy places the organism in Eukaryota, Metazoa, Mollusca, Cephalopoda, Sepiida, Sepiidae. The record is from the annotation of a GenBank genome assembly.
CACGUUGAAACAGCAGUUCCUGUACGAUUUCAGAAGUUAAGCAAUGUCAAGCCUAGUCAGUACCUCGAUGGGUGACCGCUAAGGAAUACGAGGUUCUGUAA